Cygnus olor (mute swan) is the source of this 373-nucleotide long non-coding RNA. RefSeq lists it as uncharacterized. The transcript is spliced from 4 exons. Lineage: Eukaryota; Metazoa; Chordata; Aves; Anseriformes; Anatidae. The record is from RefSeq and is a predicted model, not a curated record.
GCACCAGCCUUUGGCAACAGAUAAACACCAGAACUGGAGUUUUGACAAUGUUUGUGCUGGAAGCAAGCUUCUGUUACUCUGGUUUACGUACUACUGAUCUUUGCUUUUCUUUUGUGGCUGGAACAUAAAGUUCACGAAUUGACUUGAAAAUCAGUAUUAAGAACAGAAGACCCAAGAGUCAUGAUAAAGCAUGGAACAUAACAUUGGAGGUCUAAUUCUAGGACAGGGAGAAGUGUGUUUCACUCUGUCAGCCUUUGCUGUAGUGGAAAAACUGACAACUCUGAGGCUUAGAGAAAUGUCUUCAAGGUCCCAGUCUACGGAGUCUCCAAAACUCAAGAGCUGCCAUCAAGAGCAGAUACCUCAGGAGACAAAU